This 254-nucleotide ribosomal RNA is filed under the name uncultured bacterium. Its description in RNAcentral is "partial 16S ribosomal RNA". It matches the Rfam family "Bacterial small subunit ribosomal RNA", at positions 524 to 776 of the family's 1533-position model. The record is from RNAcentral.
UACGUAGGGUGCGAGCGUUACUCGGAAUUACUGGGCGUAAAGCGUGCGCAGGCGGUCUGUUAAGACCGAUGUGAAAUCCCCGGGCUUAACCUGGGAACUGCAUUGGUGACUGGCAGGCUUUGAGUGUGGCAGAGGGAGGUAGAACUCCACGUGUAGCAGUGAAAUGCGUAGAGAUGUGGAGGAAUACCGAUGGCGAAGGCAGCCUCCUGGGCCAACACUGACGCUCAUGCACGAAAGCGUGGGGAGCAAACAGG